UACGUAGGGGGCAAGCGUUAUCCGGAUUUACUGGGUGUAAAGGGAGCGUAGACGGCCAGACAAGUCUGAAGUGAAAAUCCAGCGCUUAACGUUGGAAGUGCUUUGGAAACUGCCGGGCUAGAGUGCAGGAGGGGCAGGCGGAAUUCCUAGUGUAGCGGUGAAGUGCGUAGAUAUUAGGAGGAACACCAGUGGCGAAGGCGGCCUGCUGGACUGCAACUGACGUUGAGGCUCGAAGGCGUGGGGAGCAAACAGG
This 253-nucleotide ribosomal RNA is filed under the name uncultured bacterium. Its description in RNAcentral is "partial 16S ribosomal RNA". It matches the Rfam family "Bacterial small subunit ribosomal RNA", at positions 524 to 776 of the family's 1533-position model. The record is from RNAcentral.